AAAAACUCCGGUGGUGCAAGAUGGACCCGCGUCUGAUUAGCUGGUUGGCGGGGUAAAGGCCCACCAAGGCGACGAUCAGUAGCCGGCCUGAGAGGGUGGACGGCCACAUUGGGACUGAGACACGGCCCAAACUCCUACGGGAGGCAGCAGUGGGGGAUAUUGGACAAUGGGGGGAACCCUGAUCCAGCGACGCCGCGUGAGUGAAGAAGUAUUUCGGUAUGUAAAGCUCUGUCAGCAGGGAAGAAAGCAAUGACGGUACCUGACCAAGAAGCCCCGGCUAACUACGUGCCAGCAGCCGCGGUAAUACGUAGGGGGCAAGCGUUAUCCGGAAUUACUGGGUGUAAAGGGAGCGUAGACGGCUGUGCAAGUCUGGAGUGAAAGGCGGGGGCCCAACCCCCGGGCUGCUCUGGAAACUGUAUGGCUGGAGUGCAGGAGAGGUAAGCGGAAUUCCUAGUGUAGCGGUGAAAUGCGUAGAUAUUAGGAGGAACACCAGUGGCGAAGGCGGCUUACUGGACUGUAACUGACGUUGAGGCUCGAAAGCGUGGGGAGCAAACAGGAUUAGAUACCCUGGUAGUCCACGCCGUAAACGAUGAUUACUAGGUGUCGGUGGGUAUGGACCCAUCG
This 624-nucleotide ribosomal RNA is filed under the name uncultured bacterium. Its description in RNAcentral is "bacterial SSU rRNA". It matches the Rfam family "Bacterial small subunit ribosomal RNA", at positions 202 to 842 of the family's 1533-position model. The record is from RNAcentral.